Molecule: long non-coding RNA, 403 nt
Organism: Neopsephotus bourkii (Bourke's parrot)
Lineage: Eukaryota; Metazoa; Chordata; Aves; Psittaciformes; Psittacidae
Exons: 3
Source: RefSeq, a predicted model, not a curated record
UCUGCUAGCAAGGAGCUGUGACCCCACUGGAUUGAUACGGGCCCUGGGGCUUCUGCAAAAUCUUCUGGUUACAGAAGCAGUGUUUUCACUGUGCUUGGCCUUGCAGGAAGCAUUAUAAUGGAGAAUGUUAUUUGAUGCAAGAUACAAAAAUGGGAAGGUGCUGCUGUGAAGAGGAAAAUACUUCAUUUACCCUGUUCCAUCUCUGCUGCAAGGCUGUUCUCUGGGAUAGUGGGGUAAAAUGCCUUAUUUUCAGAGGAGAGAAUUCAGAAGGAUGAAAGGGACCAUGAAGAGGGUGAUUUAAUGGAGCACAGACAAAUUCUGACUAAAGAAAACAGACUUCUGUUUUGAUUUUUUUUUAUCUUGUUUUUUGCUGGUUCAUUAAAAGUGUUUUAUUUACUUUAAA